UCUCUAUAUGCAUCGCCAGGUACGUUCCGAAGAGUGAAGAGUCUUUGAGAUCUCCGUUAUCAUCAGAAAAGUUAGCAUCAGAGGCGUCCCCCACUGGGUCCCCAAGACUUUGUUCUAGCUAAAGGUCACAGAGCACGUUGAAGGUUUCGCCGGAAAUUGCAUCAACACUCAAAAAGUUUAAACAGAUCGAUGUUAAAACAGGCAACAAUGCAAGGAAAAUAAGAAGAUCCUAAGAUCGAAUGACGAUAAUUGCCUUGCAUAUGCGCAUGCAUUGAGGGAUCUGUGACUCUGCCACCGAAUACAUUACUUCUUAUUCUUCUUUUGGACAAAGUGAAUAUAGUUAAUUAAGGACAAUAUCUUAUUCUUA
This is a long non-coding RNA of Carya illinoinensis, 367 nucleotides long. RefSeq lists it as uncharacterized. NCBI's taxonomy places the organism in Eukaryota, Viridiplantae, Streptophyta, Magnoliopsida, Fagales, Juglandaceae. The record is from RefSeq and is a predicted model, not a curated record. The transcript is spliced from 2 exons.